CUGAGCCUUACAUGAAACCUGGGCUUGCCGACCUGAAGAAUGCCAUCGUGGUACCUCACAUUGCUUCUGCCUCCAAGUGGACUCGAGAAGGAAUGGCAACAUUGGCUGCUCUUAAUGUCCUGGAUAUCCAGUUUGGUCUGAUGCGAAACGGGUAGAACCAUUCCUGAAUGAGAAUGCUCCACCACCAGCUGCCAGUCCAAGCAUUGUUAACGCCAAGGCCUUAGGAUUACCAGUUUAAAGGCUUUGAGCAUUGAUGUAAAUGGCCACAUUUUGAGCCUUCCUGGUGCAAAUGGAGCAAUUGUUAUGCAUGGAACCAGGCUCUAGCGAUACUGUGAUUAUCUGGAGUUCUAACAAAAGUUGUAUAUUUGAAAGAUGAAUGUGGUCAAACGUGUAUCUACUAUGUUGUCUCAUAAAUACUGGCUUCAGAAUCCUGUUAUAUAUAAGAGGUUACUUAUGAAUGCUUCAAUC
Molecule: long non-coding RNA, 468 nt
Organism: Rosa rugosa (rugosa rose)
Lineage: Eukaryota; Viridiplantae; Streptophyta; Magnoliopsida; Rosales; Rosaceae
Exons: 4
Source: RefSeq, a predicted model, not a curated record